AUUGAACGCUGGCGGCAGGCCUAACACAUGCAAGUCGAACGGUAACAGGAAACAGCUUGCUGUUUCGCUGACGAGUGGCGGACGGGUGAGUAAUGUCUGGGAAACUGCCUGAUGGAGGGGGAUAACUACUGGAAACGGUAGCUAAUACCGCAUAACGUCGCAAGACCAAAGAGGGGGACCUUCGGGCCUCUUGCCAUCGGAUGUGCCCAGAUGGGAUUAGCUAGUAGGUGGGGUAACGGCUCACCUAGGCGACGAUCCCUAGCUGGUCUGAGAGGAUGACCAGCCACACUGGAACUGGGACACGGUCCAGACUCCUACGGGAGGCAGCAGUGGGGAAUAUUGCGCAAUGGGCGCAAGCCUGAUGCAGCCAUGCCGCGUGUAUGAAGAAGGCCUUCGGGUUGUAAAGUACUUUCAGCGGGGAGGAAGGGAGUAAAGUUAAUACCUUUACUCAUUGACGUUACCCGCAGAAGAAGCACCGGCUAACUCCGUG
This 490-nucleotide ribosomal RNA is filed under the name uncultured bacterium. Its description in RNAcentral is "partial 16S ribosomal RNA". It matches the Rfam family "Bacterial small subunit ribosomal RNA", at positions 30 to 507 of the family's 1533-position model. The record is from RNAcentral.